This 576-nucleotide ribosomal RNA is filed under the name uncultured bacterium. Its description in RNAcentral is "bacterial SSU rRNA". It matches the Rfam family "Bacterial small subunit ribosomal RNA", at positions 338 to 916 of the family's 1533-position model. The record is from RNAcentral.
CCUACGGGAGGCAGCAGUGAGGAAUAUUGCGCAAUGGCCGAAAGGCUGAUGCAGCGACGCCGCGUGAAGGAUGAAGUCCGUAAGGAUGUAAACUUCUUUUGCAGGGGAUGAACGAUCCGCUUCUCGCGGACUUGACCGUACCCUGCGAAUAAGGAUCGGCCAACUACGUGCCAGCAGCCGCGGUAAUACGUAGGAUCCGAGCGUUGUCCGGAAUUACUGGGUGUAAAGGGCGUGUAGGUGGAUCUCAAAGUCGGUCGUGAAAUCCUGCAGCUCAACUGCAGAAUUGCCAUCGAUACUGGAGGUCUUGAGUGCGGCAGAGGGAGAUGGAAUUCAUGGUGUAGCGGUGAAAUGUGUAGAUAUCAUGAAGAACACCGGUAGCGAAGGCGGUCUCCUGGUCCGUAACUGACACUGAGGCGCGAAAGCGUGGGGAGCAAACAGGAUUAGAUACCCUGGUAGUCCACGCCCUAAACGAUGGGUACUAGGUGCUGGGCCGCAAGGUUCAGUGCCAACGCUAACGCAUUAAGUACCCCACCUGGGGAGUACGAUCGCAAGGUUGAAACUUAAAGGAAUUGACGG